RNAcentral lists this long non-coding RNA (1380 nucleotides) under Lynx canadensis (Canada lynx). Its description in RNAcentral is "lncRNA (ENSLCNG00005000628.1)". Lineage: Eukaryota; Metazoa; Chordata; Mammalia; Carnivora; Felidae. The record is from RNAcentral.
AUGUGGUCACGUCCAGGCAGAGUGAUUGUGGGGACACAGCACGGCCCUCGGGCCGAUGGGGAGUGCAGAGAAGGGCUGCCUGGAGUGGGGCGGCAGCGGGGGCCAGGGAGCCCUCCUUGCCUUCCCCAGGUGGGACCAGGAAUGGCUCAGAUUGGUCAGCGUCCCUCUGGUUCCCUGCUGGGCCACCUGCCCUGUCCUUUCUGUUUGCGCGGCCCCGAUGUCUCUGGUGCCGCGGGGUCACUCCCGGUGCCGAGGGGGACCCGGGGGGCAGGAUCGAGGUUCCUGGUGGGGCAGGUCACAGAAGUCAUGUCCCCCCAGGUACUUCUGCCAGCUGGUGGACGGCCUGGAGUACCUGCACAGCCAGGGCAUUGUGCACAAGGACAUCAAGCCAGGCAACCUGCUGCUCACCACGGGCGGCACCCUCAAGAUCUCCGACCUGGGUGUGGCCGAGGUUGGUGCGCCUCCCUUAGCGCCCCGGGGGGCGGGAGGGGGCGCUCCCGCGGGGGCUGCUCCCUGAGGUCCACCUGGCGAUGCUGCAGGCCCUGCACCCCUUUGCCGAGGACGACACGUGCCGGACGAGCCAGGGCUCCCCAGCGUUCCAGCCCCCUGAGAUCGCCAACGGCCUGGACACCUUCUCUGGCUUUAAGGUGGACAUCUGGUCGGCUGGGGUUACUCUGUAAGUGCCCGUGGGCCUCGGGCCCCCUGCUUCACCCCCGCCAGGGGCCCCUCCUGUGCCCACCAAGGACUCAGGCCUGUUUGGGCUUCAGGCCUCUAGAACCGCCCCUCCUAGCGUGUCCCCCAGACACCGUUCCCGGGCUGUGCCGGGUGGCCAGAGUGCCAGAGAAACCGUGGUGCCGAGAUGAGAAGCCCCCUGUGGGUAGGAGCAGAGGGGGCCGCUCCCCGCCUUGUGGGGUCCUUGGGAUUAACCGUGUGGGGGUGCACACGGCCGGGCCUUCCUCCUCGGUCGUGAGGGCUCGUACUGGUACGUUUGCCCCGGUUCACACCCCAGGGCCACUGCUGUUGUCUCGAAGCAAGUGUUUCUGUCCUGACUCUACGCCGUCACCCCGGAGGAGUCUCAGACCGUGUCCCCCAGUUCUGCUCGUCCGUCCCUCGGGGCACAUCCCCGAGCACUUCUGCGUGAGCAGCGGUCAGCGUGGUGCCUGCCACAGAGGGCAGGCCCUAACUUUCCAGAACCUUCCCUCCUGCCUCUUGCAGGGCGGCUGUCGGCCGACAUGGGUGCUUCAUUUCGUUUUAUUUUUGUUUUUUAAGUAUUUAUCUGUUUUUGAGGGAGUGAGAGCAGAGGGGCAGAGGGAGAGAGAGAGAGAGAGAGAGGGAAAGAGCGAGUCCCAAGCAGGCCCCCACUGUCAGUGCAAAGCCUGA